CCUACGGGAGGCAGCAGUGGGGAAUAUUGGGCAAUGGGCGCAAGCCUGACCCAGCAACGCCGCGUGAAGGCAGAAGGCUUUCGGGUUGUAAACUUCUUUUAAGAGGGAAGAGCAGAAGACGGUACCUAUUGAAUAAGCAACGGCUAACUACGUGCCAGCAGCCGCGGUAAUACGUAGGUGGCAAGCGUUGUCCGGAUUGACUGGGUGUAAAGGGCGUGUAACCGGGCUGACAAGUCAGAUGUGAAAUCCCGUGGCUCAACCACGGAACUGCAUUUGAAACGGUCGGUCUUGAGUAUCGGAGAGGCAGGCGGAAUUCCUAGUGUAGCGGUGAAAUGCGUAGAUAUUAGGAGGAACACCAGUGGCGAAGGCGGCCUGCUGGACGACAACUGACGGUGAGGCGCGAAAGCGUGGGGAGCAAACAGGAUUAGAUACCCCAGUAGUC
RNAcentral lists this ribosomal RNA (442 nucleotides) under uncultured bacterium. RNAcentral's name for it is "partial 16S ribosomal RNA". It matches the Rfam family "Bacterial small subunit ribosomal RNA", at positions 338 to 795 of the family's 1533-position model. The record is from RNAcentral.